GCUAUACUGUCUCCCCCCUUUAUCAGUGAAACUGAUCUCCCCGUGAAGAAGCGGGGAUAAUCAUAUAAGACGAGAAGACCCCAUGGAGCUUCAAACUCGCACCACUGCCCCCCCCCUCCACCCUAGUAAGUCGGGCAAGAUGGUAACGAGUCUUUCGGCUGGGGCGACCACGGAGAAAAACAAAACCUCCAUGAUGAAAGGAACACCCUAAUCAAAGAGCCACUGCUCUAAGAAUCAAUAAAUUGACACAUUGACCCAAUAUUUUGAUCAACGAACCAAGUUACCCUGGGGAUAACAGCGCAAUCCAUUUCAAGAGACCUCAUCAACAAAUGGG
Molecule: ribosomal RNA, 334 nt
Filed under: Anodonthyla boulengerii (Boulenger's climbing frog)
Lineage: Eukaryota; Metazoa; Chordata; Amphibia; Anura; Microhylidae
Description: partial 16S ribosomal RNA
Rfam family: Bacterial large subunit ribosomal RNA
Source: RNAcentral